UCACUAGUGAUUAAGGGCACCACAAGAACGCGUGGAGCAUGUGGCUUAAUUUGACUCAACGCGGGAAAUCUUACCGGGUCCGGACACACUGAGGAUUGACAGGUGUUUCGAAGGUAACUUGAGUCUUUUUACUUCGGUAACGAGGCUUUCGCUUUACACUUCAUUUCAAAUAUGCUAGUCCUUUCAUGACUGUGUGAUAGGUGGUGCAUGGCCGUUCUUAGUUCGUGGAGUGAUCUGUCUGCUUAAUUGCGUUUCACUUAUGGCUUGUAUAUGUCUACACUAUAGUGUUGACCGCACUGCUUCUUUAAGUGGUGUCUGAGUCCGCUAUGGAAAGCAUUGCACAGCCUCGAAGGCAACGAACGUGACCGCAACCUCUUGUUGCCUCCCACGUGUCUGGGCUUACCAAAUGGCUUUUCUGUUUCGGCAGUUGCUUUUGCGUGAGUAUUCCAGACCACGGUCUAUCUUUCAUGCUGGCCAAUGCUUCGGCUUUCGGUCCAGUUGGGAUAGUUUACUGAGUGGAGGGAAACUAGAGGGACCGCUGACAUUCUUUAAACCAGAGGAAGGUUGCGGCAAUAACAGGUCUGUGAUGCCCUUAGAUGUUCCGGGCUGCACACGUGCUACAAUGAUUAUUGCAGUGAGCAUCUUACCCAGUUCGUGUGCGCAGUGAUUCUCGUUCAUGGUUUGGCUGUUAUGUGUUUUGGGCGUUUUAACUUCGGUUUUGGCGUUUCUUAGCGCUGAUGGUCAUAUUCGCCGUGAACAGACCUGACGCAUUUUACGACUAGGCUACUUCGAAAGUAAGUAGCUAAUCAAUUCGAAGUAAUGAUUUCCUUUUGCAUACUAUAUAUGUACUGGCGGUUUUGCGGGUUCAGCCUUGUGUUGUUCUUUGCAUACCACAGUUACAUGUGCUCCAUAAAUUCGUGGUGGGGACAGACCAUUGUUAAUUGUUGGUCUCGGUCUCAACUAGGAAUGCCUUGUACGGGUCUUUGGUUCAACAGACCACCCGGAAUAUGUCCCUGCGCUUUGUACACACCGCCCGUCA
This 1039-nucleotide ribosomal RNA is filed under the name Foraminifera environmental sample. RNAcentral's name for it is "SSU rRNA". It matches the Rfam family "Eukaryotic small subunit ribosomal RNA", at positions 1144 to 1678 of the family's 1831-position model. Lineage: Eukaryota; Foraminifera. The record is from RNAcentral.